CCUACGGGAGGCAGCAGUGGGGAAUAUUGGACAAUGGGCGAAAGCCUGAUCCAGCAAUGCCGCGUGAGUGAUGAAGGCCUUAGGGUUGUAAAGCUCUUUUACCAGGGAUGAUAAUGACAGUACCUGGAGAAUAAGCUCCGGCUAACUCCGUGCCAGCAGCCGCGGUAAUACGGAGGGAGCUAGCGUUGUUCGGAAUUACUGGGCGUAAAGAGUACGUAGGCGGUUAUUCAAGUCAGAGGUGAAAGCCCGGGGCUCAACCCCGGAACUGCCUUUGAAACUAGAUAGCUAGAAUCUUGGAGAGGUCAGUGGAAUUCCGAGUGUAGAGGUGAAAUUCGUAGAUAUUCGGAAGAACACCAGUGGCGAAGGCGACUGACUGGACAAGUAUUGACGCUGAGGUACGAAAGCGUGGGGAGCAAACAGGAUUAGAUACCCUGGUAGUCCACGCCGUAAACGAUGAUAACUAGUUGUUCGGGCACUUGGUGCCUGAGUGACGCAGCUAACGCAUUAAGUUAUCCGCCUGGGGAUACGGUCGCAAGNUUAAAACUCAAAGGAAUUGACGG
RNAcentral lists this ribosomal RNA (560 nucleotides) under uncultured bacterium. RNAcentral describes it as "bacterial SSU rRNA". It matches the Rfam family "Bacterial small subunit ribosomal RNA", at positions 338 to 916 of the family's 1533-position model. The record is from RNAcentral.